GUAAACCUUUUGUUUUGAUGAUAAAUUCAACAUUCAUCGUAGAGAUGUCACAUCUCUGGGAAUUUCUAACGUUUUGUUUUAUUUUGAAAAUUAUAUAUAUAUGUAUAUAUGUUACAGGAAAUCAUUGUAAUUGGCGUUCUCACAUGUAAUUUGAAGCAGUGUAGUAAUUACAUGUAAUCCCUAGAUAUUGGAAAGGAUUUCAUGAAAUCCUUAGAAUUUUGACCUAAAAUUAUACAUAUUCCCUAACCCUAAAACAUGAAUUUAAUGUUAGGAAUGGGAUUACAUGAAUUCAUCAAAAUUAGUAGGAAUUCCAUGUAAUCCUUUAUUACGCUUAUUUACUGUAACAUAUAUAAAAAAGAUUCUACCAAUAUUUUUUGUUAUUGUAUUAUCUAUUCUUGCUUUAAACACACGUAUAAUACAAUAUUAUAAUUAUUUCUCGUACCUUUUGAUAGUAUUUUGUGAAUGGUAAACAUGUAGAGAUGUCAUUGAGUAGAAGUUACAAAAGUUACAAAGGCAAGCAAUUCAUUAUAAAUGUCUUCACUGGGAGAAACCUAUAUCAUAUUUUUCAACAUCUAAGUUGAUUUCAGUUACAAUUCAAAUUGAAUUCUUACAGUGGAUUGAUAUUCCACAGAAG
RNAcentral lists this long non-coding RNA (634 nucleotides) under Mytilus galloprovincialis (Mediterranean mussel). The record is from RNAcentral. Lineage: Eukaryota; Metazoa; Mollusca; Bivalvia; Mytilida; Mytilidae.